GACGAACGCUGGCGGCGUGCUUAACACAUGCAAGUCGAACGGAAAGGCCCUGCUUUUGUGGGGUGCUCGAGUGGCGAACGGGUGAGUAACACGUGAGUAACCUGCCCUUGACUUUGGGAUAACUUCAGGAAACUGGGGCUAAUACCGGAUAGGAGCUCCUGCUGCAUGGUGGGGGUUGGAAAGUUUCGGCGGUUGGGGAUGGACUCGCGGCUUAUCAGCUUGUUGGUGGGGUAGUGGCUUACCAAGGCUUUGACGGGUAGCCGGCCUGAGAGGGUGACCGGCCACAUUGGGACUGAGAUACGGCCCAGACUCCUACGGGAGGCAGCAGUGGGGAAUAUUGCACAAUGGGCGGAAGCCUGAUGCAGCAACGCCGCGUGCGGGAUGACGGCCUUCGGGUUGUAAACCGCUUUCGCCUGUGACGAAGCGUGAGUGGCGGUAAUGGGUAAAGAAGCACCGGCUAACUACGUG
Molecule: ribosomal RNA, 468 nt
Filed under: uncultured bacterium
Lineage: Bacteria
Description: partial 16S ribosomal RNA
Rfam family: Bacterial small subunit ribosomal RNA
Source: RNAcentral